This 388-nucleotide ribosomal RNA is filed under the name uncultured bacterium. RNAcentral's name for it is "bacterial SSU rRNA". It matches the Rfam family "Bacterial small subunit ribosomal RNA", at positions 29 to 420 of the family's 1533-position model. The record is from RNAcentral.
AUUGAACGCUGGCGGCAUGCCUUACACAUGCAAGUCGAACGGCAGCACGGGAGCAAUCCUGGUGGCGAGUGGCGAACGGGUGAGUAAUAUAUCGGAACGUGCCCGGUCGUGGGGAUAACGUAGCGAAAGCUACGCUAAUACCGCAUACGAUCUACGGAUGAAAGCGGGGGAUCGCAAGACCUCGCGCGAUUGGAGCGGCCGAUAUCAGAUUAGGUAGUUGGUGAGGUAAAGGCUCACCAAGCCGACGAUCUGUAGCUGGUCUGAGAGGACGACCAGCCACACUGGGACUGAGACACGGCCAGACUCCUACGGGAGGCAGCAGUGGGAAUUUUGGACAAUGGGCGCGAAGCCUGAUCCAGCAAUGCCGCGUGCAGGAUGAAGGCCUCGG